CAGAAAAUAUUUUAAUCUUAGAAUGCCAGCUUUGGGAGCCGGCGGCGGGAGUUCAAAUCUCCUUUUUCUGA
Molecule: transfer RNA, 71 nt
Filed under: Hippocampus nalu
Lineage: Eukaryota; Metazoa; Chordata; Actinopteri; Syngnathiformes; Syngnathidae
Description: tRNA-Pro
Rfam family: tRNA
About the family: Transfer RNA (tRNA) molecules are approximately 80 nucleotides in length.
Source: RNAcentral